This 247-nucleotide long non-coding RNA is filed under the name Brassica napus (rape). RNAcentral describes it as "long non-coding RNA (BNAP_LNC002378)". Lineage: Eukaryota; Viridiplantae; Streptophyta; Magnoliopsida; Brassicales; Brassicaceae. The record is from RNAcentral.
AUGGUAAAUUAAUUUAGACAUUAGAGUUUAGAGUUAAGGGGUGGGGUUUAGAAUUUAGGGUUUAGGGUUUAGAGUUUAGGGUUUAGGGUUUAGAGUUUAGAGUUGGGAAGUGGGGUUUUGGGGAUAAGAUUUCAAAUUUUGAAAAAAAAAAAAAAAUUUCAAAAAGAUAAAAUGCUAUUUCGGUCAUUUUAGUUUUUGAGGACUAUUUUUGUGACAUAAACUUAGAAAAAUGCUAUUUUGGAGAUUU